Molecule: non-coding RNA, 69 nt
Organism: Podarcis lilfordi (Lilford's wall lizard)
Lineage: Eukaryota; Metazoa; Chordata; Lepidosauria; Squamata; Lacertidae
Source: the annotation of a GenBank genome assembly
GCUGUAGCUCAGUGGUAGAAUAUCUGCCUCUCAUGCAGAAAGUCCCAGGUUUAAUCCCGGGAAUCUCCA